Molecule: ribosomal RNA, 497 nt
Filed under: uncultured bacterium
Lineage: Bacteria
Description: partial 16S ribosomal RNA
Rfam family: Bacterial small subunit ribosomal RNA
Source: RNAcentral
UAUUCCCUCUGGCGGCGUGCCUAAUACAUGCAAGUCGAGCGAACGGACGAGAAGCUUGCUUUUCUGAUGUUAGCGGCGGACGGGUGAGUAACACGUGGAUAACCUACCUAUAAGACUGGGAUAACUUCGGGAAACCGGAGCUAAUACCGGAUAAUAUUUUGAACCGCAUGGUUCAAAAGUGAAAGACGGUCUUGCUGUCACUUAUAGAUGGAUCCGCGCUGCAUUAGCUAGUUGGUAAGGUAACGGCUUACCAAGGCAACGAUGCAUAGCCGACCUGAGAGGGUGAUCGGCCACACUGGAACUGAGACACGGUCCAGACUCCUACGGGAGGCAGCAGUAGGGAAUCUUCCGCAAUGGGCGAAAGCCUGACGGAGCAACGCCGCGUGAGUGAUGAAGGUCUUCGGAUCGUAAAACUCUGUUAUUAGGGAAGAACAUAUGUGUAAGUAACUGUGCACAUCUUGACGGUACCUAAUCAGAAAGCCACGGCUAACUACGUG